This is a long non-coding RNA of Etheostoma spectabile (orangethroat darter), 391 nucleotides long. RefSeq lists it as uncharacterized. The transcript is spliced from 2 exons. NCBI's taxonomy places the organism in Eukaryota, Metazoa, Chordata, Actinopteri, Perciformes, Percidae. The record is from RefSeq and is a predicted model, not a curated record.
AUCAGAGUACUGGUACUUUGUGUUCUGGUCCGAUCCAGUCUGGUCAGGUUGGACCCGGUCCAAUAACCUCCCCUCCCCCCUUCAGGGUGCUGAAAGGUGCGAGAGGCGCUAUCUAUUGAAUCAGGGCAAACAAAAGAAGCUGAUUGGUCCACAAACAGUAAAACCCCGCCCACCCGUCAUCGUCACCCAAGCAUCCUAUUGGUUGCCUACAUCAUUCAGAAAAAAAAACAGAGCGAGCCCCUUCUCCCAUUGGUCAGUGUAGCCUUAGGCAACAAAGGCCGUUUUCCCAUUGGUCAGUGUUGAUAACACGCCAACUGUCAGUCACUCAGCAGCGGCCAAUCAGGUUACAGUACAUUACCUGUGGAACCUUCAGGAAUAACAAAAAGAAAAA